This 425-nucleotide ribosomal RNA is filed under the name uncultured bacterium. RNAcentral describes it as "bacterial SSU rRNA". It matches the Rfam family "Bacterial small subunit ribosomal RNA", at positions 354 to 796 of the family's 1533-position model. The record is from RNAcentral.
GUGGGGAAUAUUGGACAAUGGGCGAAAGCCUGAUCCAGCAAUGCCGCGUGAGUGAUGAAGGCCUUAGGGUUGUAAAGCUCUUUUACCCGGGAUGAUAAUGACAGUACCGGGAGAAUAAGCUCCGGCUAACUCCGUGCCAGCAGCCGCGGUAAUACGGAGGGAGCUAGCGUUGUUCGGAAUUACUGGGCGUAAAGCGCACGUAGGCGGCUUUGUAAGUUAGAGGUGAAAGCCUGGAGCUUAACUCCAGAACUGCCUUUAAGACUGCAUCGCUUGAAUCCAGGAGAGGUGAGUGGAAUUCCGAGUGUAGAGGUGAAAUUCGUAGAUAUUCGGAAGAACACCAGUGGCGAAGGCGGCUCACUGGACUGGUAUUGACGCUGAGGUGCGAAAGCGUGGGGAGCAAACAGGAUUAGAAACCCGAGUAGUCC